This is a long non-coding RNA of Electrophorus electricus (electric eel), 680 nucleotides long. RefSeq lists it as uncharacterized. The record is from RefSeq and is a predicted model, not a curated record. Lineage: Eukaryota; Metazoa; Chordata; Actinopteri; Gymnotiformes; Gymnotidae.
GGAGACGUCGGGAUUCUGGCAGCCUUUCUGCGGCACCCCUCGAGGGAGCGUGACACGCGGGAACGCGGCAGCCGAGCACCGGCGACGCCCCGUAAUGGAAUGUUGUAAAGCUAACCCCACGCGCUAAACCCACGCAAGACCGAAAGCGCGAUCCGUUUGGUGAGAGGAGGCGCACACCAGCUCCUGCGUCCCGGUGACCAGAGCGGCGCGGAGUUUCUUCGCGUGCUUGCUGGACUCCUCCCUGUUUCUCCCCCCAUGUGCAGAUAAGGAGGAUCCAAAGAGUGCUGGUUGAUAGUAGGGCCCCGACACAUGUGCCGUAAAGGAUCUCCAGAGCUCAGGGAUAUUUGGACGAAGUCAUAAAAUGGAUCUGCAGUAGUUCUGCACUAGUGGGUGCCGGAACACCCGAGCUGAGCCAGUGAAGCCCCACUGCAGGACCAUGUCUUGGUCAACAACUGAAGACCUCUGUGGGUGUAAGUACAGGUGGCACCGGGGAACUCUCAGCCCACGAAGUCUUCAGCAUGGCUCCCUGCUGGAAUGGGCCGGGUGGUGUUCCACCCUCAGCAGAGCUGCAGAUGUGUGAAAUCACAUGGUCAAGGGGGAAAAAAAGCCAAAAGAGGAAGCGUGAAAUAAUUGACCAUGGUGCCACUUUUUUGUUUAAGGAAAUAAAUACUGCUUUGAUA